Molecule: non-coding RNA, 31 nt
Filed under: Alteribacter aurantiacus DSM 18675
Lineage: Bacteria; Bacillati; Bacillota; Bacilli; Caryophanales; Bacillaceae
Source: RNAcentral
CUCUGAUUCGAAAGUUUCAGGGCGGAAGGAG